AGAGUUUGAUCAUGGCUCAGGAUGAACGCUAGCUACAGGCUUAACACAUGCAAGGUCGAGGGGCAGCAUUGGAGUAGCAAUACUUCAGAUGGCGACCGGCGCACGGGUGAGUAACACGUAUCCAACCUGCCGCUUACUCGGGGAUAGCCUUUCGAAAGAAAGAUUAAUACCCGAUGGUAUAAAGAGUUCGCAUGUUCUCUUUAUUAAAGAAUUUCGGUAAGCGAUGGGGAUGCGUUCCAUUAGAUAGUUGGCGGGGUAACGGCCCACCAAGUCUACGAUGGAUAGGGGUUCUGAGAGGAAGGUCCCCCCACAUUGGAACUGAGACACGGUCCAAACUCCUACGGGAGGCAGCAGUGAGGAAUAUUGGUCAAUGGACGAGAGUCUGAACCAGCCAAGUAGCGUGAAGGAUGACUGCCCUAUGGGUUGUAAACUUCUUUUAUAAGGGAAUAAAGUGAGGGACGUGUCCCUUUUUGUAUGUACCUUAUGAAUAAGGAUCGGCUAACUCCGUGCCAGCAGCUGC
Molecule: ribosomal RNA, 520 nt
Filed under: uncultured bacterium
Lineage: Bacteria
Description: bacterial SSU rRNA
Rfam family: Bacterial small subunit ribosomal RNA
Source: RNAcentral